AUUGAACGCUGGCGGCAGGCCUAACACAUGCAAGUCGAACGAGUGGCGGACGGGUGAGUAAUGUCUGGGAAACUGCCUGAUGGAGGGGGAUACCUACUGGAACCGGUAGCUAAUACCGCAUACCAUCGGAUGUGCCCAGAUGGGCUUAGCUAGUCGGUGGGGUAACGGCUCACCUAGGCGACGAUCCCUAUCUGGUCUGAGAGGAUGACCAGCCACACGGGAACUGAGACACGGUCCAGACUCCUACGGGAGGCAGCAGUGGGGAAGAUUGCACAAUGGGCGCAAGCCUGAUACAGCCAGGCCGCGUGUAUGAAGAAGGCCUUCGGGUUGUAAAGUACUUUCAGCGGGGAGGCGUUACCCGCAGAAGAAGCGCCGGCUAACUACGUGCCAGCAGCCGCGGUAAUAC
RNAcentral lists this ribosomal RNA (406 nucleotides) under uncultured bacterium. RNAcentral describes it as "partial 16S ribosomal RNA". It matches the Rfam family "Bacterial small subunit ribosomal RNA", at positions 30 to 526 of the family's 1533-position model. The record is from RNAcentral.